RNAcentral lists this ribosomal RNA (460 nucleotides) under uncultured bacterium. RNAcentral's name for it is "partial 16S ribosomal RNA". It matches the Rfam family "Bacterial small subunit ribosomal RNA", at positions 338 to 795 of the family's 1533-position model. The record is from RNAcentral.
CCUACGGGAGGCAGCAGUGAGGAAUAUUGGUCAAUGGACGCAAGUCUGAACCAGCCAUGCCGCGUGCAGGAAGACGGCCCUAUGAGUUGUAAACUGCUUUUGUACGAGGGUAAACGCAGUUACUCGUAUCUGUCUGAAAGUAUCGUACGAAUAAGGAUCGGCUAACUUCGUGCCAGCAGCCGCGGUAAUACGGAGGAUUCAAGCGUUAUCCGUAUUUAUUGGGUUUAACGGGUGCGUAGGCGGUCGGAUAAGUUAGAGGUGAAAUCCCGGGGCUCAACUUGGGAAUUGCCGCUGAUACUGUUAGGCUAGAGAGUAGUUGCGGUAGGCGGAAUGUAUGGUGUAGCGGUGAAAUGCUUAGAGAUCAUACAGAACACCGAUUGCGAAGGCAGCUUACCAAGCUACUUCUGACGUUGAGGCGCGAAAGCGUGGGGAGCAAACAGGAUUAGAUACCCUAGUAGUC